Long non-coding RNA from Dreissena polymorpha, 218 nucleotides. RefSeq lists it as uncharacterized. The record is from RefSeq and is a predicted model, not a curated record. The transcript has 3 exons. Lineage: Eukaryota; Metazoa; Mollusca; Bivalvia; Myida; Dreissenidae.
CUUUAUACGGUACGGAGGGGUAUUUUCCAACAAUUCAACAUAAAAGACUUACACCAGAACACGAUUAUCAUAAUUUUGGAAUAGUUAUCAGAGAAUUACUGACAGGUGUUGAUCCAACGGAAUAUGAGAAGGACGACGCCAUACAACUGCGCAAAUGGGACAGUAGAAGAGUUGAGAAUAAUAUACAGGAUCGAGUUUGGCCCAAGGAAUUCGAUGAA